This 83-nucleotide transfer RNA is filed under the name Clostridium sp. RNAcentral describes it as "tRNA-Leu". It matches the Rfam family "tRNA". Rfam says of the family: Transfer RNA (tRNA) molecules are approximately 80 nucleotides in length. The record is from RNAcentral. Lineage: Bacteria; Bacillati; Bacillota; Clostridia; Eubacteriales; Clostridiaceae. RNAcentral also lists the same sequence under 2 other names.
GCCGGCGUGUCGGAAUGGCAGACGAGGGAGACUCAAAAUCUCUUGUUGGAAACAACGUGCGGGUUCGAGUCCCGCCGCCGGCA